CCUACGGGAGGCAGCAGUGGGGAAUAUUGCACAAUGGGGGAAACCCUGAUGCAGCGACGCCGCGUGAGUGAAGAAGUAUUUCGGUAUGUAAAGCUCUGUCAGCAGGGAAGAAAAUGACGGUACCUGACCAAGAAGCCCCGGCUAACUACGUGCCAGCAGCCGCGGUAAUACGUAGGGGGCAAGCGUUCUCCGGAUUUACUGGGUGUAAAGGGAGCGUAGACGGCAGGGCAAGUCUGGAGUGAAAGGCGGGGGCUCAACCCCCGGACUGCUCUGGAAACUGCCAGGCUUGAGUACUGGAGAGGCAGACGGAAUUCCUAGUGUAGCGGUGAAAUGCGUAGAUAUUAGGAGGAACACCAGUGGCGAAGGCGGUCUGCUGGACAGCAACUGACGCUGAGGCGCGAAAGCGUGGGGAGCAAACAGGAUUAGAUACCCCUGUAGUC
RNAcentral lists this ribosomal RNA (440 nucleotides) under uncultured bacterium. RNAcentral describes it as "partial 16S ribosomal RNA". It matches the Rfam family "Bacterial small subunit ribosomal RNA", at positions 338 to 795 of the family's 1533-position model. The record is from RNAcentral.